GAAGCAAGCCAGACAGCCGCUGGCCGGUGCAGCAAUGCACUGGCGGGAGGAAGGUCCGGACUCCACAGAGCGGGGUGACGGUUAACGGCCGUCCGCCGAAAGCCUUGCCGGCGCAAGCCGGCAGGUAUAAGGCGAGGAAUAGGGCCACAGAGACGAGCGUAUUAAGUUACGGUGAAACGCGGUAACCUCCACCUGGUGCAAUUUCAAAUAGGCACGCGAUGAUGCUGCUCGCGGAGCGUGCGGGUAGAAAGCUUGAGCGGCGGAGUAAUCCGCCGCCUAGAGGAAUGGCUGUCAUAGCGCGGGCGACCGCGCCGUAACAGAAUCCGGCCUAUCGGCUUGCUUCACUU
Molecule: RNase P RNA, 347 nt
Filed under: Pseudoduganella buxea
Lineage: Bacteria; Pseudomonadati; Pseudomonadota; Betaproteobacteria; Burkholderiales; Oxalobacteraceae
Description: RNase P RNA component class A
Rfam family: Bacterial RNase P class A
About the family: Ribonuclease P (RNase P) is a ubiquitous endoribonuclease, found in archaea, bacteria and eukarya as well as chloroplasts and mitochondria. Its best characterised activity is the generation of mature 5'-ends of tRNAs by cleaving the 5'-leader elements of precursor-tRNAs.
Source: RNAcentral